UCGGAAAUGGAAGCGGAGCUUGCUCCUUCCACUCCAUGCAUCGACGUGGUAUUGCAGUGUUUCCAUGAACGGUGCGCUCCCCUUCUCGGGGACAAAUAAGUUAGGUAAAAAUCAGAAUUUGUUUCUUUUGUGCGUGAAUGACAGAGUGUUUUUUAAUUCGUGUGUUUUAAAAGUGCUGUGUAUUCGUUGGCAUUAUUGGUUUAACGAAAAGCUUGCAUGGAAAUGAACACGCUGAUAACGAAAUGUUUUUGUAAUGUAUUUAAUUAUUUUCCUUACAGUUUGCGGAGGUGAUACCAGGACGAAUUAAACAGCCUCGACACAGCUGAAGGCGCAAGAAAAUCGUACGAGACAGUUUGGGAUGUUAAAAACACCUGAAAACUUUUUUUUCCACUACCCUUCAUACUACAGCGGUCGAAAAACCACAGCAACGUCGACACGCCUGGAAGCAUAGCUGUAUUUGUUUAAGACAACGGCUGUCGAAGAACCACAGCAACGUCGGCAGAUCUGGAAGCAUAGCUGUAUUUGUUUAACUCACAACGACAACGGGUAAGUCAUUGAGCCCUUGUGUUUUUAUUUAUCCACGUUCUAAAAUUGCUAUGCUUUCGUUGUUUCUCGAUUGCUCUGUACAUUUCUUUGUUUCUAUUCCACGUAAAGUUACUUUGUAAUAACGAAACGAUAUAUUGAAAUGCGCUAUUUAAAUCCAUUUGAUUUAAAUUGUUUCACGUUUUUCUCUCUGCACGGUUUAACCGGGCUGGAAACGGAAAAUGGGUAGAUCUCGAAGAAUAUUUGGUUUCAGACCUGGCUUCGUGCGCCUUUCCACCUGGUCACACACAGUAAUGAAAUGGUAGUCGGACGGCCUUCGGGGGCGCCGUCGAUGUGAUCGGUCACAGGAAGAUGCGGCCGUCUGGCCUCAAAGGCUGUUGCUCAUACUUACCUGGCAGGGGAGAUACCAUGAUCAUGAAGGUGGUUCACCCAGGGCGAGGCUCAGCCAUUGCACUCCGGUUGUGCUGACCCUUUGCGAAUUCCCCAAAUGUGGGAAUCUCGACUGCAAAAUUUCUGAUAGUGGGGGACUGCGUUCGCGCUCUCCCCUGGC
This is a non-coding RNA of Misgurnus anguillicaudatus (oriental weatherfish), 1093 nucleotides long. The record is from RefSeq and is a predicted model, not a curated record. Lineage: Eukaryota; Metazoa; Chordata; Actinopteri; Cypriniformes; Cobitidae.